This 199-nucleotide ribosomal RNA is filed under the name uncultured bacterium. Its description in RNAcentral is "partial 16S ribosomal RNA". It matches the Rfam family "Bacterial small subunit ribosomal RNA", at positions 328 to 539 of the family's 1533-position model. The record is from RNAcentral.
ACGCUCGACACCUACGGGAGGGCAGCAGUGGGGAAUAUUGCACAAUGGGGGAAACCCUGAUGCAGCGACGCCGCGUGGAGGAAGAAGGUCUUCGGAUUGUAAACUCCUGUUGUUGGGGAAAAAGAGGAUGGUACCCAACAAGGAAGUGACGGCUAACUACGUGCCAGCAGCCACGGUAAUCUGAGCGGGCUGGCAAGGC